Molecule: long non-coding RNA, 1062 nt
Filed under: Nannospalax galili (Upper Galilee mountains blind mole rat)
Lineage: Eukaryota; Metazoa; Chordata; Mammalia; Rodentia; Spalacidae
Description: lncRNA (ENSNGAG00000024459.1)
Source: RNAcentral
CUCGACCUUCCGGUGCGCAUGCGCACGCGCACUCCCCCACCCCUCACCGAGCUGUGGGGACAGAUGCAGUAAUCAUCCUCAUUCCUCCAGCAGGCCCCUGCUGCUCCCGGGACCGCGUAGUGGUUGUAAGGACACCUAAUUAGACCCAUCAGCGGACAAUGCGGAGGAUCGGCGGCGUACUCCUCCACCCACACGCGGUCACCAGUGUGCUUCCCCUUCACCCCAGCCAGGGUGACUGAUGUGCAAACCAAGCCCUUCGUGGGACCGUCCCUGGUGGAGUCUUGCGCUCAGAACAAGCGACGAUGGCAGCCCCUCUGCCAACGGCCCCCUGGUCCCCUCGUGGGGAAUGACCCAGGACGACCCGGAUAGCCGGGUCCACCCUGUCGUCUGCCAAGGAGCCAGACCACCUCUGCAGCAACUGGAAGGCCCAGUGCCCAGUGCUGGGAGAAAGAGCGCUGCGGAGAGAAGAUUCAUGCUGGGCAUCCACCUGCAGGCCAGGUGGCCAUAUGACUGAGACAGCCAAUGGACCUCACCAUCUCAGUGUUCACUGGAAUUGGUCCAGCCAGCAAAUCUGAAGAGCCUAUUGGGGAGGGUGAGACCCCGAUAACCUUCUUCUGACCCAUGUCAACCAGGAAGGGGGGAGCUCUAGGGGCUGCUGGCAGCCCUUAUGGGAUUUGAGAGACAUCCAAUUGGUUGAUGUCAACACUGAGGAUGAUAAAGAAGAGACCACCAAAACAAGGGCCUUUGUCACACUAGACAAUAGCUUGGGAGGGCCACACUGAAACCCACUGUACCACCAAACCUGUCUGUGUACUCUUAAUCUUUACUGUUUGAAACCACUGUGUUAAGUUUCCUGUUACAGUCUGUGCUCUCUUCUUCUCUGUAGUAUUUCCAAGAGCUCCCACAGAUGCCUGAAACCACAUGAUACUGAAUCUAGAUGUUUUCCCUACCCAUACAUGCCUGUGAUAAAGUUUAAUUUAUAAAUUAGGCACAGUAAGAGGUAAACAAUAGAAGAGACCAGUUCUAAUAGUACUGUGUAAUAAAGGUUCUGUGAAUGAGGUC